Molecule: ribosomal RNA, 280 nt
Filed under: uncultured microorganism
Description: partial 16S ribosomal RNA
Rfam family: Archaeal small subunit ribosomal RNA
Source: RNAcentral
GUGCACCAGUCGCGAAACCUCCACAAUGCGGGAAACCGUGAUGGGGGGAAUCCGAGUGCCCGUUGGCUAAUGCUGGCGGGCUUUUCUCAAGCGUAAAAGGCUUGAGGAAUAAGGACUGGGUAAGACCGGUAGCCAGCCCGCCGCGGUAACACCGGCGGUCCAACUGGUGAUCAGCAUUACUGGGCCUAAAGCGUCCGUAGCCGGAUGGUUGGAUUCUGAGUGAAAUUUCCCAGCUCAACUGGGAAGCGUGCUUGGAACACCCGCCAUCCUUGGGACCGGG